RNAcentral lists this long non-coding RNA (1378 nucleotides) under Calidris pugnax (ruff). RNAcentral's name for it is "lncRNA (ENSCPUG00000019286.1)". The record is from RNAcentral. Lineage: Eukaryota; Metazoa; Chordata; Aves; Charadriiformes; Scolopacidae.
UUUAUGUGUCUAUAUGUAUACAUAUACGUAUAUAUGUGUGUGUGUGUAAAUAUGCACAGCAGUACUUACACUCCACUGCAUACAUAUCCAAGGACAUUUACAUGUUGUUGCUAUGGCAGGAUUCUGCUAACAUCUGAGAAAUAAAAAAAUAAAUACCACCAGAGGGCUCACAAGCUAUUUUAUUUUUUCAUGUCAACAGCUGUCUAAACCAAUGAGCGCUGGGACUUACACCUUCCUGGGAUUCAGGCUCCCAUGUUUUUGAUGUUUCUGUGCAGACAUCAAGGUGUCCAGAUGCCAAGAUUCCUUGGUCUCCACAGAUGCCUUUGUUCACAAGAUUAUUGAUGUUUGGGGUCAGGAUUUCUCUAAUGGCUCAUGACACAGGUGCAAAUGUCAUUAGAAGAAGAGUCUAGAUGAGAAUGAAAGCAUGAAAAGUUUUCAAUCUCCAUAUUUAACCACCUAAGGAGCAGAAGAGAAAAGGAAAGCAGAGAAAAGUAAAUCCACAUAAAAUAUGCUGUUCUAUUUGCUGAAAUUAAGAAGUGGAACCAGGAAGAAUAAUUACUAUAAAAUAAAAAUAUUUCUUAGUUUUGUAAAGUUGCACUCAGGACUUACUGGAAACGACUGCGGGGAGUGUGUGUGGGUGAGUACCUCUCCCAAGUAUUUCCUCCUGAAGCGCCAGCACAAAUCAAGACAACGUGUUGUCCCCCCUGCUGCACCUCUCCUAUUGCGAGGGUUGAAGAGUCCAUGCCCUCCACAAUCCUCUCCCCAGUGACACUUCUGUUUCUUGAUUUGGAUAGUAAUAUACUGUGAAUGUGGUUCCAUACGUUUUCCCACAUUUCUCUUUCACUGCAGGUUAAAGGCGUGCCCAGGUUUGGCCUUUUGGAGAAAGUUAUGACUUCACUAUCUAUUCAUGUGGACUCUUAAAUUAAAAAUUGAUUAGGCUACUUCUGUUCUUUGUUUUCUUCUUAGGAAUGACAACCUACGAGGAGGCAACCUGAAGAGCAGACACCCGGGAAGUAAAACAACAAAGUUUGCUGUGUAUACGAUGGGCUUUACUAUCUCAGCAUUAUAGAGACGUAACUGCUAAAAUGAAGUCUGGCAUUGUUUUUCUCAUGGCUGAGUGAGUGGCAGACCCUGGGGAGAAUGUAUUAGAGUUCUCAUCUUGUAACUUAACUUCUCCUUUUGUUGUUCUGCAUAAUUGCUGUCACCCAGGUAAAGCUGGAUUGUUUCUUCCAUGGUAAAUUCUCUCCCACACAACCCUUUGACCUUCAGGCAGUGAGAGCAGCAGGGUUUCUCAUCUCAUGAUUUAACUGAAGAAAAUAACUACUUGAAGAGGAAGUGCUUUGAAAUAAACAAUGUCUCUGAAUUAGAAAACUAAACA